UGAAAUAUCAUAUAUUUCAUAACAUUUUGCCAAAGGAUUAAUAGGGAAUGACUUUGGAAAUAUGCUUUCAACAAUCAAUCAUAUGCAUGUAGAAAAAUUACUCCACUUCCUUUGUUUGGUUUGAAAAAUAAAGUAGUGUAUUUUUUGGGUAAUACAGGAAGUUUUCUGAAGCAAGCCUUAUCACUCGAGAUAUCACAAGUGAAUAGAAUAUGAUGAAAUUGGGAGGGGCAUUGCAAGAGUUAAUUCAGUUUGAGGGCAUUCUCCAGUUAUGAUUCUGGGGUAAUGCUUCGUUUAGUACCAAUCAGUCUAAGCCCAAGCUUUGGCCUUUUAGCAUAGUUCAGCUUUAGACAGAAUCGGCCACCCUUGAAGCUUUAUGAAGAUCAGAGCCUUGAAGCAUAUGACCCUAGAUACUAGAUUUUGCACUAACUGUAGCUAUUUGAUCUUUGCAUUACCUGCUGUAUAUGUAUAUCAGCUCUUGAUGCAUUAUAUCUCACGUGGAUAGUGUUAUCAUAAUAUUUUUGUUCGGUUUAAAAUCUUGUGUAACUGGAUGAGUUAUUUUGUGCCAAGAGUUUGACCAUCCCUUUUGCUACUGA
This is a long non-coding RNA of Coffea eugenioides, 593 nucleotides long. RefSeq lists it as uncharacterized. Lineage: Eukaryota; Viridiplantae; Streptophyta; Magnoliopsida; Gentianales; Rubiaceae. The record is from RefSeq and is a predicted model, not a curated record. The transcript is spliced from 4 exons.